UGGUGCGUUACUGCUCAUGAUUGCUUGGAGUGUUCUAAAAGUAACCUUGGUACUUCAACCCAAACAAAUGCCAGUAUGGACUUCGGAUUCAUAUUAACAAAAUAUUAGAAAUGGAAUCCUGAGUUUUGCAGCUGGAACAGAGUCUAUGUUCACUAUUGUGAUGAGUCCUCAUUUAUGGGAGAUGUUGAAUCCGUGAGUAAUAAUGUAACUUACCGUGGAGCAAGGAUUUUCA
This is a long non-coding RNA of Ipomoea nil (Japanese morning glory), 232 nucleotides long. RefSeq lists it as uncharacterized. The record is from RefSeq and is a predicted model, not a curated record. NCBI's taxonomy places the organism in Eukaryota, Viridiplantae, Streptophyta, Magnoliopsida, Solanales, Convolvulaceae. The transcript is spliced from 3 exons.